This 226-nucleotide long non-coding RNA is filed under the name Elaeis guineensis (African oil palm). Its description in RNAcentral is "long non-coding RNA (EGUI_LNC050857)". Lineage: Eukaryota; Viridiplantae; Streptophyta; Magnoliopsida; Arecales; Arecaceae. The record is from RNAcentral.
GUGUUGCCAAAAAAUAUAAGAAUGGUUGUUAUUCAUCUUUACAACUUUUAUAGAAAUAUUUAUGCAAAGAGGUUACCUAAGAAAGAUGUGAAGAAAAUGAAGGCAAGGAUGGUGAUUAUAUUAUAUGAUCUGCAAAAGAUAUUUCUACCAUCAUUUUUUACAGUUAUGAUGCAACUCACCGUAUAUCUUGUGGGAGGAGUUGCACUUAGAGGUCUAGUGUUCUGCC